This 432-nucleotide ribosomal RNA is filed under the name uncultured bacterium. RNAcentral describes it as "partial 16S ribosomal RNA". It matches the Rfam family "Bacterial small subunit ribosomal RNA", at positions 338 to 795 of the family's 1533-position model. The record is from RNAcentral.
CCUACGGGAGGCUGCAGUGGGGAAUUUUGGACAAUGGGGGCAACCCUGAUCCAGCCAUGCCGCGUGCGGGAAGAAGGCCUUCGGGUUGUAAACCGCUUUUGUCCGGAAAGCGGUACCGGAAGAAUAAGCACCGGCUAACUACGUGCCAGCAGCCGCGGUAAUACGUAGGGUGCGAGCGUUAAUCGGAAUUACUGGGCGUAAAGCGUGCGCAGGCGGUCCGCAAAGUCUGAUGUGAAAGCCCCGGGCUCAACCUGGGAACUGCAUUGGAAACUAACGGGCUCGAGUGUGGCAGAGGGGGGUGGAAUUCCACGUGUAGCAGUGAAAUGCGUAGAGAUGUGGAGGAACACCGAUGGCGAAGGCAGCCCCCUGGGCUAAACUGACGCUCAGGCACGAAAGCGUGGGGAGCAAACAGGAUUAGAUACCCUUGUAGUC